RNAcentral lists this long non-coding RNA (497 nucleotides) under Chrysolophus pictus (golden pheasant). Its description in RNAcentral is "lncRNA (ENSCPIG00010007579.1)". Lineage: Eukaryota; Metazoa; Chordata; Aves; Galliformes; Phasianidae. The record is from RNAcentral.
CGGGGUCCCAGUGGAGCCAAGGGAGACCUGGGAGCCAAAGGAGGCAAGGGUCUGCGUGGAGCACCAGGAGCUGCGGGUCCCCCGGGGCUGCGGGGUCAGAUGGGCUCAUUGGGCUUCCCAGGACCCCGCGGGGCAGCAGGACCCCGAGGACCUGAGGGAGAAGAAGGGCAGAUGGGUCCAGUGGGGCUGAACAGCAGUGAAGGACCGAAGGGAGGCCGAGGACCUGACGGCCCAAAGGGAAUGCCAGGACCACGGGGUGCCAGGGGUCGUGGGGGCCAGCGUGGGCUGGUUGGAGUCCCAGGACCUCCUGGCUCAAGAGGCAUCCCUGGAGCAGAAGGCACAGAAGGAAAGCCUGGUAUACAGGGUCCCCCCGGGGCUGUGGGCAGCCCAGGCAGGAUGGGAGCACCGGGCUUUGUUGGUGUGCAGGGGGGCAGAGGGCACGCAGGACCUCCUGGACCCACAGUAAGGACAACCUGCACGGAUCCCCCCCCUUUUCC